AGAGUUUGAUCAUGGCUCAGAACGAACGCUGGCGGCAUGCCUAACACAUGCAAGUCGAACGAGACCUUCGGGUCUAGUGGCGCACGGGUGCGUAACGCGUGGGAAUCUGCCCUUGGGUUCGGAAUAACAGUUAGAAAUGACUGCUAAUACCGGAUAAUGUCUUCGGACCAAAGAUUUAUCGCCCAGGGAUGAGCCCGCGUAGGAUUAGCUAGUUGGUGAGGUAAAGGCUCACCAAGGCGACGAUCCUUAGCUGGUCUGAGAGGAUGAUCGGCCACACUGGGACUGAGACACGGCCCAGACUCCUACGGGAGGCAGCAGUGGGGAAUAUUGGACAAUGGGCGAAAGCCUGAUCCAGCAAUGCCGCGUGAGUGAUGAAGGCCUUAGGGUUGUAAAGCUCUUUUACCCGGGAUGAUAAUGACAGUACCGGGAGAAUAAGCCCCGGCUAACUCCGUG
Molecule: ribosomal RNA, 453 nt
Filed under: uncultured bacterium
Lineage: Bacteria
Description: bacterial SSU rRNA
Rfam family: Bacterial small subunit ribosomal RNA
Source: RNAcentral